UACGAGUGCUUCGAGCGUUAUCCGAAAUCAUUGGGCGUAAAGGGUGUGUAGGCGGCAUUAUUAGUCUCGCGUAAAAUCUUUCGGCUCAACGGAGAGUCUGCGUGGGAAACGGUAGUGCUAAGAGGAUGGAAGAGGUCUCUGGAACUCAUGGUGUAGCGGUAAAAUGCGUUGAUAUCAUGGGGAACACCAAAAGCGAAGGCAAGAGACUGGUCCACUCCUGACGCUGAAACACGAAAGCGUGGGUCGCGAAUGGG
This 254-nucleotide ribosomal RNA is filed under the name uncultured bacterium. RNAcentral describes it as "partial 16S ribosomal RNA". It matches the Rfam family "Bacterial small subunit ribosomal RNA", at positions 524 to 776 of the family's 1533-position model. The record is from RNAcentral.